This 654-nucleotide ribosomal RNA is filed under the name uncultured Corynebacterium sp. RNAcentral's name for it is "bacterial SSU rRNA". It matches the Rfam family "Bacterial small subunit ribosomal RNA", at positions 65 to 730 of the family's 1533-position model. The record is from RNAcentral. Lineage: Bacteria; Bacillati; Actinomycetota; Actinomycetes; Mycobacteriales; Corynebacteriaceae.
GACGGAAAGGCCCAAGCUUGCUUGGGUACUCGAGUGGCGAACGGGUGAGUAACACGUGGGUGAUCUGCCCUGCACUUCGGGAUAAGCCUGGGAAACUGGGUCUAAUACCGGAUAGGACCACUUCUUGGAUGUUGUGGUGGAAAGUUUUUUCGGUGUGGGAUGAGCUCGCGGCCUAUCAGCUUGUUGGUGGGGUAAUGGCCUACCAAGGCGUCGACGGGUAGCCGGCCUGAGAGGGUGUACGGCCACAUUGGGACUGAGAUACGGCCCAGACUCCUACGGGAGGCAGCAGUGGGGAAUAUUGCACAAUGGGCGCAAGCCUGAUGCAGCGACGCCGCGUGGGGGAUGACGGCCUUCGGGUUGUAAACUCCUUUCGCUAGGGACGAAGCGUUUUGUGACGGUACCUGGAGAAGAAGCACCGGCUAACUACGUGCCAGCAGCCGCGGUAAUACGUAGGGUGCGAGCGUUGUCCGGAAUUACUGGRCGUAAAGAGCUCGUAGGUGGUUUGUCGCGUCGUUUGUGUAAGCCCGCAGCUUAACUGCGGGUCUGCAGGCGAUACGGGCAUAACUUGAGUGCUGUAGGGGAGACUGGAAUUCCUGGUGUAGCGGUGGAAUGCGCAGAUAUCAGGAGGAACACCGAUGGCKAAGGCAGGUMUCU